This 2029-nucleotide long non-coding RNA is filed under the name Salmo salar (Atlantic salmon). RNAcentral's name for it is "lncRNA (ENSSSAG00000084493.1)". Lineage: Eukaryota; Metazoa; Chordata; Actinopteri; Salmoniformes; Salmonidae. The record is from RNAcentral.
CUAGAUGUCAACGAUCUUUAUAAAGUUGUUUGAAGCGUCUAUGAUAAACAGAGAGCAAAUUAGAAUGCAGGGAAGUUGACAUGUCGUCACUUCAUUUUUUUGCGCCUGCGCAUAAAUCUGAGAAGAGGGAGUUUAUCAUAAUCGUUUAUCUAGACACUUGAUAGGUUGUGUGAAAAUAUUACUGAUGUUUACUGAUGUUUCACGUUAAAAAUGGACCAAAAGAUUAAUGCUAAACAACGUUUGACAUGUUUGAACGAACGUAAAUAGAUUAUUUACUAGGUUUUUUUAGCUUUUCGGCGUGAUUUUACACCCCCCCCACCACGUUUUGUGGGAGCCUACUGAACGCUAACUAUUUGGUGUUAUUUGGACAUAAAUUAUGAACUUUGUCAAAAGAAACCACAUUUGUUCUGGACCUGGGAAUCCUGGCAGUGCCUUCUGAUGGAGAUAAUCAAAGCUUCGAUGUUCUGCAGCCUGGUGUUGUUGUCGCCAAGGAGCGUUCAGACUCAGUCGCGACCAGGUUUCACCUGCUGUGCAACGCGGACAUCCUUCCUCCCAUAGAUGGUCGGCCUGUACAAGCACCACCUGGACUGGACACAGCUAGACAAACUCAUGUAUUUGAGAAGAUCAGGGGGUUUUGUGACGAAGAGGCUAUGGACAUCACAUGCCCUGCACCAAAGUCAAGGGCAGGACAGAAACAGGUUCUCCGAAUAUAGACUCCCUUGUUCAUGCGUGGUUUGGACGGACCAGUCAUCAGCACUAUCUGCAGUGCCUCUAUUCACAUGACUCUCUCCUAACUCUCUCCUAAAAAUAGUAGGUAGCUAUCAAGUAAACACAAUUUUUUUUAUCCUGCUGCUCAGCCACUUUACCCCUGAUUGUAUGCAUACAACUACCUCAUCUAUCACUAUCGUUAUUGAUAUUGUUCUUGUACAUACUGUUGCUUAUUUUAUUUUGACACUAUCAAUUUCUGAUAUUGCUACUAUGCAAGUAAUCAUUUGGCUGCACUGUUUACACCUUCUAUAGAGACCAAUCCACUUAGCAAGACUUAGCAAAAUAUUGAUAUAUAAAAUUAAUAUUGAUAUGUGUGGUCGUAAAAUGAUUUUGUGACGAACCACAACAAUAUCAGGUGAUCGUAUCAAGUGUCCACCACAUAAAUAUAUUGGGCAUGCAUCUGUUUAUGUACUGUACAUGUGCACCUCAUUCAGGUUUCAACUCAGGUUGCAUGGCCUUAACUUAUGUAUGGAAAACUAUGUGAUGAGUGCAUGUGUAACAGUAUAUACAGUAUGCUAAUAUACUGGUGUGAAGGCAUUUGCCAAAUCAUUUCAGUCUCCUGAGGGGGAAUAGCCAUUGUCGUGCCCUCUUCAUGACUGUGUUUGGACCAUGCUAAUUUGUUGUUGAUGUGGACACCAAGGAACUUGAAGCUCUCAACCUGCUCCACAACAGCCCCGUCGAUAAGAAUGGGGGCGUGCUCGAUCCUCCUUUUUCUGUAGUCCACAAUCAUCUCCUUUGUCUUGAUCACGUUGUGGAAGAGGUUGUUUUCCUGGCACCACACGGCACCACACCACAUAUGAAUCCCAACUUUGGAUUUGACUAUGGAUUCUUCAACAUCUCUCCCUGGGAGCUGUUUCCUGCCAAGGGUGAACGCUGGGCCCUUACAGAAUUACCCACCAAAAACGGACCAAGCAGCGGAGGAAGGAGCAGCACAAGGAGAGGCACCAGGAGAAAAGCUAUCUGGAGUCGUGGACUUGGGAGGAAAUCCUGGGCGGGAAAGGACCAUGGGCUCAAGCUGGGGAUUAUUGCCGCCCGCAGUGGGAGAUCGAGGCGGCGAGAGCUGAGAGGUGCUGGUAUGAGGAAAGGGAGCGCAAAGGACAUGGGAGGCAGCCCCCCCAAAACAUUUUUGGGGGGCACACGGUGAGAUUGGCGGAGUCAGGCGGUAGACCUGAGCCAACUCCCCGUGCUUACCGGAAGCAGCGUGGUACUGGUAAGACACCGUGUUAUGCUGUGGAACGCACAGUGUCCCCAGUGCGCGUGC